AAUCCCGCAAAAAAUUAAAAACAAAAAGAAAAAGGCUCCGAUUCUGGCGCCUCUCACCCUUAUUCAUUCUCACCCACCAGAAUCAAGAAGAAACAAUCUCAGAUGUGAAGAAACACCCACAGAUCGAUCAUCUCCCUUCCACUCUCAUCACUCAUCAGCCCAUCAAAGAUACACGUACUCUCAGCACCACCAUAUAUUGCAACGCAUAUCUCUCUCGGUCUCUCUAUCUCAGUUUACAACUUCCGUCAUUGAUCGAAGAUACCAUAUGACUUGCUGUCUCCUCCGAACAAAAGGCAACUGUUUGAGUUUCUCAUUGUCUGCAAAAGCAUUGUUGUUCAGAAAUCGUUCUUGUUUAGUAUACCUCCAUCUGGACAAAGUCGGCCAUUAAAAGGUUGAUUAUUUUUGUUACUUUGGUCCUGCAAUUUAGCUAUCACAAUAGCUUUUUGUUUUUUGGUCUGAUAGGUUUUUGAACAUAUAUAUGCAUUACUUGGCUAGCACAUAUGAUUGGGUUGCUGGGGAUGAGACUUUUGCUUUAAAGGCAGAGUCUUUGAGGUUUUUAAAAAGCGAUUUGGAAUGUGAAAUUGAAUGGCUUUUGUCCCUUUUGUUUCUGGCUCUCUUUUACUAAUGAUUAAAAUUGUUAUUUUUUUUUCCUUCUGCGUUUGGAUGAACUGUUGAUAAUGGUGUUGUCAUUAACGUGUGGAUUAUAGUUGUUAGUCUGGUAUGAAUUUAUUGAUAUGUAUGGUUUAUUGAGAAAAUGUACUACAAUAUAUUGACUGUUUGCAAGUUGUGGCCUGAGAAAAUGAAACUUGGUUGUAGUUUUAUUCCUUUGUUGGAGUGUUAGAGUACACGUAGUGAUAAGCAUUUUUGAGGAUGGUAGGUUUGCAAAUUCAUCAUGAGAAGCAAAUGAUGCAAAUGCAUGCUGAGGCAUGCCAGAACCAAAUGCAGAUUCUUGGGGUCAUGGCUAGUUUUGUUCAAUUUUUUGGGUCAAUGCAUGAUGGCCUUGGAGGUGGUUUAGGGACUCUGCCACCUCAAAUUUUGCAGAAUUUGCUGCAUCCAGGCGGACUGGGUGACAAUGGGAAGCCGAAUUCCUAUUUGCCUUCUGAGUUCCUCUAGACUGUAAUUUAAACCCCUUGCUACAUAGUACGUAUACUUUAAUUUUGGAUGUAGUCUGACAAGGUUUUUUAUUUGUUACUUAAUAGUCUGUGCAUGUUGGUUAUUUGAAAUGUUAAGGCAUCCAAUGUUAUUAUGCCACUAAAGUGCUGUUUUGCCAUAAUUUUGGAUGCUUAUUUUGGAUGGGGUUUGAUAUUGAGAAAUGAUUCCAGUCAGGGAUAUGGAAGUAUUUCACAUGAUAGAAAUCAUUCAGAUUUUGAAGUAUUACCAAUGGCAGUAAAGUUUCUGACUACCGUUAUCCUUGUACAUUCAAUUCUCAUUCUAUAAUUUGUUCUAUAAUAUACACUUUUUCUUUUCAAUGUAUUUUCUGCCUUUUCUACUAGCAUCUUCAUCGGUUUCGCAUCAUUUAGUACUGAGGAUCACACAACCCUUUGGUAAGUCAAUUACCUUUCUCUAUUUCUUUUAUCUUUUGAUUAUCUGUUCCAGCUCCCGUAGUUUCCUGCCUGGAAUUACCUGGUAUAAAAUUUGUUUUAGUGUUUGUCACAUGAUAUAUAGAAUUUGAGUAUUGCACGUUUAUCUUUGAAUAUUCUUUUAACUUUGUUAAGCGAUUUUAUCUUUCUAGUAAUUUAUUUUGUUUUAAUAAUAUUGAUGUCAUGGUUAUAUUUAUCCCUUAUUUUUCAAGGUAUGGUUGCUUUCUGUAUUAGUAACCUGGGCUUAUAACUUAGUUAAGAUGGUCGCAAUAGCUUUAAGGGUUUGUCAUUGACUUUCUCAACUGAUUACUUAAGAAAGUUAUGCCCCAUAGUUUAUAUUUGUUGUUUAGGCUUGACUUUUUAAUUUCAAAAGCUACAAUCCCACAUUUGGCUUUCUUAAAACCUAAAGGCCGGUAGCUGUUGAAUUUCAGCUUUCACUCUAUCCACUUUUAUAGUUGUCUACCCUGAUUUAAACUGACCAGGAACUAAAACAUUAAGAGGAGCAUUGGCAAUGCCAUUGAUGAUCCAAGGAAUGAAGAAGGAUGUUAUUUAGUAUUCCAUCAUUACAUGCCGAAAACCUGAAUAGACCACAGUAUGAUGGGGGGUUUCUACAGAAUGAGGAUCAUAAUCAAUAAGUGAAGCAUGACAGUGCCAUUGGUGAUUUAAGGACAAAUGAAAGGUCCAAGUAUUCGAUGGAAACAAAAUCAGUAGAGGCAUCUUAUUUAUCCCCAAAUGUGUGCCUUUAAUCAUCAGUCAUCACACAAUUUCUCGCUAUACCUCAUUUUUUAUAUAUGGUAAGUAUGCAAAAACAACUCAACCCUGCAUCAUCGCGCGGGCUACUUGACUAGUUCAUAUAAUUUUAUGUUUUUCAUUUGCUUAAUGGUUUCGGCCUUAUAAAAUUACAGUUGGGCCUUAUGAGAAUUCUUUAAAUUGCAUCCUUAUCCAAAAUUCUUUUAAUGGAUUCCUCUUAUUUUGCAGAAUUGUAGGUUUCAUUUAGUUCGAAAUCCAUUUAUCUCUAUAUUGCAACAAUAUCUGAACUGAUUGAACAAAGUACUUCGUUCCAUACACUAUCCAAUUGAUUUUUCCUCUAGUUCUUAACUACAUGCUGACCCAUUUUUUAUAUUUAUUCGAGCUGAAGCUGUUUGGCCAUGGUGAGAAGGAAGCAAACCGCUAAUCGUAUUCGAAAUUCCACUUUGGGGGGUAAUGCUAAAAAGAUCCAAUCCAAGAGCCAGAAACAGAACGACUCAGGGCGUGUUGGAGGACACCUAAGCGUACCGGUCAAAGAACCAAUAACCUGCCUGGGGUUGUAAUGGCCAUUUGAAGGGUUGAUUUUGGCACUUUUAUAUGACAGCACUUCUAAUGGAAAUACGUUGACCCCCUUGGGCUUUUAGUGAUGCCAAUUUAGUUUAUGGUGUUUUACCAUAAUUCUCUCUAGCAAUAAUGCUUCCCAAUUUAGUCUACGUUAUGUUUCACCGGAUAAGUAGGCAUUGCAUUAUGGUUAUUUCUUGAUACAUGUCCUGCCCAUGCUAAGCUCAGCUCAAAGAACACAAGUGUAAACCAUGUUGUAGUCUCCAAUGUGAUGUUUUCGAAACCAAAGAUGUAGACGAGAAAAAAGUCAACUAAU
Long non-coding RNA from Rosa rugosa (rugosa rose), 3204 nucleotides. RefSeq lists it as uncharacterized. The record is from RefSeq and is a predicted model, not a curated record. The transcript has 5 exons. Lineage: Eukaryota; Viridiplantae; Streptophyta; Magnoliopsida; Rosales; Rosaceae.